UACGAAGGGGGCUAGCGUUAUUCGGAAUCACUGGGCUUAAAGGGUGCGUAGGCGGCGCGGAAAGUUGGGUGUGAAAUCCCUUGGCUUAACCAAGGAACGGCGCCCAAAACUACCGUGCUCGAGGGAGACAGAGGUGAGCGGAACUCAGGGUGGAGCGGUGAAAUGCGUUGAUAUCCUGAGGAACACCGGUGGCGAAGGCGGCUCACUGGGUCUCUUCUGACGCUGAGGCACGAAAGCUAGGGGAGCGAACGGG
This 253-nucleotide ribosomal RNA is filed under the name uncultured bacterium. RNAcentral describes it as "partial 16S ribosomal RNA". It matches the Rfam family "Bacterial small subunit ribosomal RNA", at positions 524 to 776 of the family's 1533-position model. The record is from RNAcentral.